Molecule: ribosomal RNA, 490 nt
Filed under: uncultured bacterium
Lineage: Bacteria
Description: partial 16S ribosomal RNA
Rfam family: Bacterial small subunit ribosomal RNA
Source: RNAcentral
AUUGAACGCUGGCGGCAUGCCUUACACAUGCAAGUCGAACGGCAUCGCGGGAAAGCUUGCUUUCCUGGCGGCGAGUGGCGAACGGGUGAGUAACACAUCGGAACGUACCGGCUAGUGGGGGAUAACCCGUCGAAAGACGGGCUAAUACCGCAUACGCUCUUCGGAGGAAAGCAGGGGACCUUUGGGCCUUGCGCUAGUCGAGCGGCCGAUGUCCGAUUAGCUAGUUGGUGGGGUAAAGGCCUACCAAGGCGACGAUCGGUAGCGGGUCUGAGAGGACGAUCCGCCACACUGGGACUGAGACACGGCCCAGACUCCUACGGGAGGCAGCAGUGGGGAAUCUUGGACAAUGGGGGCAACCCUGAUCCAGCAAUGCCGCGUGGGUGAAGAAGGCCUUCGGGUUGUAAAGCCCUUUCGGCAGGGAAGAAAUCGGCGGGGCGAAUAACCCUGCUGGAUGACGGUACCUGCAGAAGAAGCACCGGCUAACUACGUA